This 378-nucleotide unclassified non-coding RNA is filed under the name plant metagenome. RNAcentral describes it as "partial contains 5.8S ribosomal RNA, internal transcribed spacer 2, and large subunit ribosomal RNA". The stretch from base 1 to 105 matches the Rfam family "5.8S ribosomal RNA", at positions 50 to 154 of the family's 154-position model. The record is from RNAcentral.
GAAAUGCGAUAAGUAAUGUGAAUUGCAGAAUUCAGUGAAUCAUCGAAUCUUUGAACGCAGCUUGCGCUCCUUGGUAUUCCUUGGAGCAUGCCUGUUUGAGUAUCAUGAAAUCUUCAAAGUAAAUCUUUUGUUAACUCAAUUGGUUUCUACUUUGGUAUUGGAGGUCUUUGCAGCUUCACACCUGCUCCUCUUUGUUCAUUAGCUGGAUCUCAGUGUUAUGCUUGGUUCCACUCGGCGUGAUAAGUUAUCUAUCGCUGAGGAUACUGUAAAAGGUGGCCAAGGUAAAUGCAGAUGAACCGCUUCUAAUAGUCCAUUGACUUGGACAAUACUUUUAUGAUCUGAUCUCAAAUCAGGUAGGACUACCCGCUGAACUUAAGC